UUACCUAGAGUUGUAGGCUUUGCCUGCUAUCUCUUACCCAUGUCUUUUGAGUACCUUACGUUUCCUCGGUGGGUUCGCCCACCGAUUGGACAAACUUAAACCCUUUGCAGUUGAAAUCAGCGUCUGAAAAAACUUAAUAGUUACAACUUUCAACAACGGAUCUCUUGGUUCUGGCAUCGAUGAAGAACGCAGCGAAAUGCGAUAAGUAGUGUGAAUUGCAGAAUUCAGUGAAUCAUCGAAUCUUUGAACGCACAUUGCGCCCCUUGGUAUUCCAUGGGGCAUGCCUGUUCGAGCGUCAUUUGUACCUUCAAGCUCUGCUUGGUGUUGGGUGUUUGUCUCCUGUAGACUCGCCUUAAAACAAUUGGCAGCCGGCGUAUUGAUUUCGGAGCGCAGUACAUCUCGCGCUUUGCACUCAUAACGACGACGUCCAAAAGUACAUUUUUACACUCUUGACCUCGGAUCAG
RNAcentral lists this ribosomal RNA (464 nucleotides) under dothideomycete sp. 7682. RNAcentral's name for it is "eukaryotic LSU rRNA". The stretch from base 145 to 298 matches the Rfam family "5.8S ribosomal RNA". Lineage: Eukaryota; Fungi; Ascomycota; Dothideomycetes. The record is from RNAcentral.